RNAcentral lists this long non-coding RNA (486 nucleotides) under Androctonus crassicauda. The record is from RNAcentral. Lineage: Eukaryota; Metazoa; Arthropoda; Arachnida; Scorpiones; Buthidae.
GUGGGACGUCCACACGAACAAAGUGCAGCCAGGAUGGGAUGCCCCGUGGAGGACAGCAUCUGGGGGAGAGAUGACUGAGAGCGGGAAGGGCGAGCACAGUGGACAGCAGGGCCAGGGUCUGUGCAGUUCUAGAUGGAGUGUGCAGGUGUCAGGUCAGAGCUGGCAGACGCAGGGACAAGAAGGUGAGAAAAAGGUGCGAGUGAGGGGUGAAAGGACAAGCAGGAGAACCAGGCCGAGACGCCCCAAGAGCUGUGGCAGAGGAGUGCUUGAUGAGGGCCUGAUGGGAACAUGCAAGUUUAUGGGGAGCGAUUUUCCAAGGUCCUGGAGGAGAAAUACGGUGUCAGUCCACAUGGCUGAGAACGGGAUGGUGGGCAGAGCCUGUGGAUUCAGGUGUGUCUGCCACAAAGAGGGUUGAAGUGGGGUGAGCAGUGGGUGAGGAUCAAGAAGGGAGCACACAGCAGAGGAGAUGAUGGAAUCCAGUCUGAG